AUGAAUUCACAAAUUCAAGACUUGGAAAAAAAAGGAAUUCCCUCCUAAUUAUUUGGGUCUAAAUUUUUGUGCCUAAAUUAUAGCCCUCUUCAUCUAUUAGAUUGAACAGUAAGAUUAGAAAAUCAGAAACCCUACAAGCCUAAAGCUUUCAAAAUCAAUCAUUUAUAGAGAAGGAAAAUUUCUCAUUAAUUACUCAUGUGAAUCAACCUAAUAUCCCCAGAAGAAAGAUUAUCAAACGAAAUUGGGUUACUCCAACAUCUGAUGUUUUCUCUAUUUGUCUUCUUACAAAUUCGAGGCUUUAUAGCGGAUUCAUAUAGCUCAACGACUAAAUUACUCUUACUAUGCUUUUGGACUGCACAGGUUCUUAAGGAGGGAGGAAUGGAAGACUAAGAGGAAAAAGAUUUUACCUGUAAAUUUAUGAAAUUAGAGCAGAAAUGACAAACUAAAAUCGAUGUUGAUCCAGCUAAGGUGCACUUGGAGACCGUGAGAGGAGAGAAAGAAGAAGACUAUGCGACUCUGGAUCUCAAAGAAGAUGGUAUCACAGAGGAAUUCUGUAUUGUGAAUGUAUUUUAAUUGAAAUUUAAAAUUAUGUGUAACUUGAAACAUGUUUUGGCAAAAACUUUUGAAUUCUGUUAGUUGCAUUAUUAAGUUCUCAAAACUAACAAUGCUUGUGGCAAAUUCUUCAGUUUGUAGCAAUAAAUUUUUGAA
Molecule: long non-coding RNA, 708 nt
Organism: Lycium barbarum (goji berry)
Lineage: Eukaryota; Viridiplantae; Streptophyta; Magnoliopsida; Solanales; Solanaceae
Exons: 4
Source: RefSeq, a predicted model, not a curated record